RNAcentral lists this ribosomal RNA (556 nucleotides) under uncultured bacterium. Its description in RNAcentral is "bacterial SSU rRNA". It matches the Rfam family "Bacterial small subunit ribosomal RNA", at positions 8 to 556 of the family's 1533-position model. The record is from RNAcentral.
AGAGUUUGAUCCUGGCUCAGGACGAACGCUGGCGGCGUGCCUAACACAUGCAAGUCUGACUGGAACGUUUCCUUCGGGAGACUACUACAGUGGCGGACGGGUGAGUAACGCGUGGGAAUCUACCCGGUAGUGGGGGAUAACCCUCCGAAAGGAGGGCUAAUACCGCAUAAGUCUUACGAGGUAAAGAUGGCCUCUUUACAAUGCUAUCGCUUCCGGAUGAGCCCGCGUCCUAUUAGCUAGUUGGUGAGGUAACGGCUUACCAAGGCAACGAUGGGUAGCCGGUCUGAGAGGAUGAACGGCCACACUGGGACUGAGACACGGCCCAGACUCCUACGGGAGGCAGCAGUGGGGAAUUUUGCGCAAUGGGGGAAACCCUGACGCAGCAACGCCGCGUGAGUGAUGAAGGCUUUCGGGUCGUAAAGCUCUGUCAAGUGGGAAGAACAUGCUUGAUGCUAAUACCAUCUUGCACUGACGGUACCACUGAAGGAAGCACCGGCUAACUCCGUGCCAGCAGCCGCGGUAAUACGGGGGGUGCAAGCGUUAUUCGGAAUUAUUG